RNAcentral lists this ribosomal RNA (446 nucleotides) under uncultured bacterium. RNAcentral describes it as "bacterial SSU rRNA". It matches the Rfam family "Bacterial small subunit ribosomal RNA", at positions 28 to 489 of the family's 1533-position model. The record is from RNAcentral.
GACGAACGCUGGCGGCGCGCUUUAUACAUGCAAGUCGAACGUGAAGCUCGGAGCUUGCUCCGGGUGGAAAGUGGCGAACGGGUGAGUAUCACGUGAGAAACCUGCCCCGAAGACCGGGAUAACACCGGGAAACCGGUGCUAAUACCGGAUGCCCUCACCGGAUCGCAUGGUCUGGUGAGGAAAUGGAUUCCGCUUCGGGAUGGUCUCGCGGCCUAUCAGCUUGUUGGUGGGGUAAUGGCCCACCAAGGCUUCGACGGGUAGCUGGUCUGAGAGGAUGUCCAGCCACACUGGGACUGAGACACGGCCCAGACUCCUACGGGAGGCAGCAGUAGGGAAUCUUGCACAAUGGACGAAAGUCUGAUGCAGCGACGCCGCGUGUGGGAUGACUGCCCUCGGGUUGUAAACCACUUUCAGCAGGGACGAAAUUGACGGUACCUGCAGAAGAA